AUCUAUGGCCAUUCCACCCUGAACAAGCCCGAUCCCGUCUGAUCUCGGAAGCUAAGCAGGGUCGGGUACUUGGAUGGGAGACCGCCUAGGAAAACUAGGUGCUGUAGGCA
RNAcentral lists this ribosomal RNA (110 nucleotides) under Pteropus alecto (black flying fox). Lineage: Eukaryota; Metazoa; Chordata; Mammalia; Chiroptera; Pteropodidae. The record is from RNAcentral.